Molecule: long non-coding RNA, 273 nt
Organism: Bactrocera oleae (olive fruit fly)
Lineage: Eukaryota; Metazoa; Arthropoda; Insecta; Diptera; Tephritidae
Source: RefSeq, a predicted model, not a curated record
AAAAACUAAAAUACACGCGUUUAAACCACUUCAAACUAAAAAGGUGCAUCCGAUGACAUUGGACACGCUUUCAAAAAUAUAUUUACGGACUUCCUCCUCGAGUCGUUUAAUGGGAAUGGAAGAGACGAAAAACAUGCCUUAGCCAACUAAGGAUCAUUGAAGCAAUUUUACGAGGUUCAUUUCGCAAGGUUCAUUUUACUUUUAAAAAAGCAUAAGGAGAGCCAUUGAACAUAGCCACCACCGAUUUAAACAAAAGAAAUAAAUACAUCUUAA